Molecule: ribosomal RNA, 216 nt
Filed under: Glomeromycotina sp.
Lineage: Eukaryota; Fungi; Glomeromycota
Description: partial small subunit ribosomal RNA
Rfam family: Eukaryotic small subunit ribosomal RNA (bases 40-216)
Source: RNAcentral
GGGUCAGUAGGUUGGUCGUGCCACCGGUACGUACUGGUCUCACUGAUUCCUCCUUCCUGAAGAACCGUAAUGCCAUUAAUUUGGUGUUGCGGGGAAACAGGACUGUUACUUUGAAAAAAUUAGAGUGUUUAAAGCAAGCUAACGCUUGAAUACAUUAGCAUGGAAUAAUGAAAUAGGGCGAUCGAUCCUAUUAUGUUGGUUUCUAGGAUUGACGUA